Arabidopsis thaliana (thale cress) is the source of this 246-nucleotide long non-coding RNA. RefSeq annotates it as other RNA. The transcript has a single exon. The record is from RefSeq. Lineage: Eukaryota; Viridiplantae; Streptophyta; Magnoliopsida; Brassicales; Brassicaceae.
CUUACCUCUGCCAAUAUCUUGCGGAUCCUAAGACAUAUGAAGUAUUUUCAUAGUACAAGCUAGACCCGUAAAAGCUAAAGAUCAAAUGUAUAUAGAAUUCGUCGAAGUCUUGGAAAAGAAUGAUGUUACAAAUCCAAGACUUUAUCAAUGCCCUAGCAACAUGCAUUAAUAAAGUCUUGCAUUAGGAAGAUUCUCUCUUGUCCAUCUAUGAUAUCCACAAGCCCUGGCUCACUAGAAUAGGGUGGA